This is a long non-coding RNA of Aedes aegypti (yellow fever mosquito), 404 nucleotides long. RefSeq lists it as uncharacterized. The transcript has 4 exons. Lineage: Eukaryota; Metazoa; Arthropoda; Insecta; Diptera; Culicidae. The record is from RefSeq and is a predicted model, not a curated record.
UCUCUACAAUAAUCGCUAGGAGUUCCAGUAAAUUUCCUGAACUCUUAUCGGUGUAGUAUAUUAACAACAAGAUCAAUCCGUAAUCCAUCAGUCGAGAUUAGGUGAUUGAAGUAAACGCAUCCACUAGAGGAAACAGCACCAUGAAAUUGACAAUUUUCUUCACUCUGAUUAUGCUACUGCUUGGAGUAGCCUUUGCAUUUCCACCUGAGGGUACUAUCCCCGCAGCAGAGACCAAGGCCGCAGAGAUUCAGGAUGUUGCGGUAGAUACCGCUAACCACAAGUCGUCUGAAGAUUCUAAUUCUUCUGAGGAUGAGCACAAAAACUGCCACAAGCCGAAUGCAUGAAGUCAUUACAGAUUGAGCUCAUGAAUAAAAUUUUGUUGAUUUUCUAACCAAUAACCAUUA